Molecule: long non-coding RNA, 432 nt
Organism: Condylura cristata (star-nosed mole)
Lineage: Eukaryota; Metazoa; Chordata; Mammalia; Eulipotyphla; Talpidae
Exons: 4
Source: RefSeq, a predicted model, not a curated record
CUGCUACAGGAUUUGGCCCGUAAAUGUGGGUUGAAUCAAGUCUUUUCCCGGAUCCACCCACCUACUCACUGAAGUGAACUUUGUUAACCAUUGCAAGAGGCUGGUACUAUGGACAUGUUUUGAGUGCAUUAUCUCAAAUAAUCAACAUGUCAACCCUGUGAGUUCUCAUGUCCUGAAAAACAAAUGGUAAUGGUGUCAACAUAUGCAGAUACAUUUGAAGAUACAUGAUGAAGAAGAACAUGGAUUGGAGCAUCGGACAGACCAGAGUGGAAGCCAUGACACUCUCGCUGUGCCUAACUGCUGAGUCUUGACCUCUUCGUCAGUGAAGUGGGUAUAACAGCACAGGAUUCAUGCCACAGGAGUCACUGAAGUAUCUGCAGAGAUGAAUGACGUCAGCUGGUGGUUUAGCCCAAUGCUUCUCAGACUGUGCAC